This 253-nucleotide ribosomal RNA is filed under the name uncultured bacterium. RNAcentral's name for it is "partial 16S ribosomal RNA". It matches the Rfam family "Bacterial small subunit ribosomal RNA", at positions 524 to 776 of the family's 1533-position model. The record is from RNAcentral.
GACAGAGGUGCCGAGCGUUAGGCGGAAUCACUGGGCUUAAAGCGUGUGUAGGCGGGCCGUUAAGUGCCCCGUGAAAUCCCCCGGCUCAACCGGGGAACGGCGGGGCAUACUGGCGGCCUUGAGCCACUUAAGGGCAGACGGAACAAGCGGUGGAGCGGUGAAAUGCGUAGAUAUCGCUUGGAACGCCAACGGUGAAAACAGGUUGCUGGGGGUGUGCUGACGCUGAGACACGAAAGCCAGGGGAGCGAACGGG